GAAUUUUGGGCAAUGGGCGAAAGCCUGAUGCAGCGACGCCGCGUGGGUGAAGACGGAUUUCGGUCUGUAAAGCCCUUUUCUGUGUGACGAGGUAAGGACGGUAGCACAGGAAGAAGUCUCGGCUAACUACGUGCCAGCAGCCGCGGUAAAACGUAGGAGGCGAGCGUUAUCCGGAGUUACUGGGCGUAAAGCGCGUGCAGGUGGGAAACUCAGUUGGUUAUGAAAGCGCCCGGCUAAACCGGGCGAGGUUGACCAAAACUGGUUUUCUUGAGUGGAGCAGAGGUCAACGGAAUUCCGCGUGUAGUGGUGAAAUGCGUAGAGAUGCGGAAGAACACCAGUGGCGAAGGCGGUUGACUGGGCUCCAACUGACACUCAGACGCGAAAGCAUGGGUAGCGAACGGG
RNAcentral lists this ribosomal RNA (402 nucleotides) under uncultured bacterium. RNAcentral describes it as "bacterial SSU rRNA". It matches the Rfam family "Bacterial small subunit ribosomal RNA", at positions 359 to 776 of the family's 1533-position model. The record is from RNAcentral.